GUGCUCACUUCAGCAGCACAGAUACCAAAAUUGGAUACAGAGAAGAUUAGCAUGGCCCCUGCGCAAGGAUGACGUGCAAGUUCGUGAAGCGUUCCAUAUUUUU
Callithrix jacchus (white-tufted-ear marmoset) is the source of this 103-nucleotide small nuclear RNA. Lineage: Eukaryota; Metazoa; Chordata; Mammalia; Primates; Cebidae. The record is from Ensembl.